CGGUAAUACGUAGGGUGCAAGCGUUAAUCGGAAUUACUGGGCGUAAAGCGUGCGCAGGCGGUUCGGAAAGAAAGAUGUGAAAUCCCAGAGCUUAACUUUGGAACUGCAUUUUUAACUACCGAGCUAGAGUGUGUCAGAGGGAGGUGGAAUUCCGCGUGUAGCAGUGAAAUGCGUAGAUAUGCGGAGGAACACCGAUGGCGAAGGCAGCCUCCUGGGAUAACACUGACGCUCAUGCACGAAAGCGUGGGGAGCAAACAGGAUUA
This 263-nucleotide ribosomal RNA is filed under the name Achromobacter sp. RNAcentral's name for it is "partial 16S ribosomal RNA". It matches the Rfam family "Bacterial small subunit ribosomal RNA", at positions 518 to 780 of the family's 1533-position model. Lineage: Bacteria; Pseudomonadati; Pseudomonadota; Betaproteobacteria; Burkholderiales; Alcaligenaceae. RNAcentral also lists the same sequence under 1 other name. The record is from RNAcentral.